Molecule: ribosomal RNA, 465 nt
Filed under: uncultured bacterium
Lineage: Bacteria
Description: partial 16S ribosomal RNA
Rfam family: Bacterial small subunit ribosomal RNA
Source: RNAcentral
CCUACGGGUGGCAGCAGUGGGGAAUAUUGCGCAAUGGGCGAAAGCCUGACGCAGCGACGCCGCGUGAGGGAUGAAGGUCCUCGGAUUGUAAACCUCCGUCAGCCGGGAAGCAAGGUCACUGUGCUAAUCAGCAGUGAAUUGACGGUAAAUGCAAAGGAAGCACCGGCUAACUCCGUGCCAGCAGCCGCGGUAAUACGGAGGGUGCGAGCGUUAAUCGGACUUACUGGGCGUAAAGUGCUCGUAGGCGGUCAGUCAAGUCAAGGGUGAAAUCCCCGCGCUCAACGUGGGAACUGCCUUUGAAACUGGCAGACUGGAGUGUGUGAGAGGAUAGUGGAAUUCCUGGUGUAGGAGUGAAAUGCGUAGAUAUAUGGAAGAACAUCAGUGGCGAAGGCGGAUAACUGGCACAUAACUGACGCUGAGGAGCGAAAGCGUGGGUAGCAAACAGGAUUAGAUACCCGAGUAGUC